AUUGAACGCUGGCGGAAUGCUUUACACAUGCAAGUCGAGCGGCAGCGCGGGGCAACCUGCGGCGAGCGGCGAACGGGUGAGUAAUGCAUCGGAACGUGUCCAUGUCGUGGGGGAUAGCCCGGCGGAGGCCGGAUUAAUACCGCAUACGCCCGAGAGGGGAAAGGGGGGGAGCGGAAGGCCUCACGCACUCGGGUCGGGCGAGGUCCGAUUAGGUAGUUGGCGGGGUAAAGGCCCACCAAGGCGAUGAUCGGUAGCUGGUCUGAGAGGAUGAUCAGCCACACUGGGACUGAGACACGGCCCAGACUCCUACGGGAGGCAGCUGUGGGGAAUUUUGGACAAUGGGGGCAACCCUGAUCCAGCCAUUCCGCGUGAGUGAAGAAGGCCUUCGGGUUGUAAAGCUCUUUUGUCCGGAACGAAACGGAUGACGUGAAUAUCGUCGUCUACUGACGGUACCGGAAGAAUAAGCACCGGCUAACUACGUGCCAGCCGCCGCCGUAA
This 498-nucleotide ribosomal RNA is filed under the name uncultured bacterium. RNAcentral describes it as "partial 16S ribosomal RNA". It matches the Rfam family "Bacterial small subunit ribosomal RNA", at positions 28 to 523 of the family's 1533-position model. The record is from RNAcentral.